GUCUCAGUAGCAUAGUGGUUAAUGCGCUGCCUCGGAUAGGUUGAGAUGCGGGUUCGAAUCCCGCCCGAGAUG
This 72-nucleotide transfer RNA is filed under the name Nippostrongylus brasiliensis. It matches the Rfam family "tRNA". From Rfam's summary of the family: Transfer RNA (tRNA) molecules are approximately 80 nucleotides in length. Lineage: Eukaryota; Metazoa; Nematoda; Chromadorea; Rhabditida; Heligmosomidae. The record is from Rfam by way of RNAcentral.